Molecule: ribosomal RNA, 253 nt
Filed under: uncultured bacterium
Lineage: Bacteria
Description: partial 16S ribosomal RNA
Rfam family: Bacterial small subunit ribosomal RNA
Source: RNAcentral
UACGUAGGGUGCAAGCGUUGUCCGGAAUUAUUGGGCGUAAAGAGCUCGUAGGCGGCUUGUCACGUCGACUGUGAAAACCCGGGGCUCAACUCCGGGCCUGCAGUCGAUACGGGCUGGCUUGAGUGCGGUAGGGGAGACUGGAAUUCCUGGUGUAGCGGUGAAAUGCGCAGAUAUCAGGAGGAACACCGGUGGCGAAGGCGGUUCUCUGGGCCUUACCUGACGCUGAGGAGCGAAAGCGUGGGGAGCGAACAGG